AUUCACUCUUUUUUUUUACAAAACCCUAAUGAAGCCAGUUUCUUUCUUCUUCUUGAGACAAUGGAUUCCAAAACAAUCUAAAACGGGUGUCUUGCACAUCAAGAAGAAAUUCUUAGGGUUUUUGAUUCUUCCACUACAAGAUUAGGGCUAUUUAUUGGACGUCGAUUUGUUUUUUUCCGUCAAUUUCAACAAGGUGUAACCGGCGGCGGCUUACAAGUUAGCUAUCAGAAACAAUGGAGUGUCGGAAUUGACUAUAUUGGCGGAAAUCGUCGAAGAAAAGCCCCAGCGAAACCGAAAGCUUAGAAGGAUCAAUCAUGUAUCGUCUUCCCAUUAUGAUGAUCAAGCAUUUUUAAUUCAUCAACUAGAGGGUGGUUUUGGGAGGGAAUCCAUUCUAUUAACUUUGGACGCGGGAUCCGUUUUUACAAUGAGUGACCCGAUAUCAGAUGGAUCAUAUAUGUCGUCUUUGACAAAUCCUAAAGCUUCACAGACACACUUCUCUCAAACCCUAAAUUCCUCUUUGCGAUUCUUCAUGUUCUUCACCGAUUAUUCGUGAUUGAUCUUAGGUAUGUUGUUGUUCUUUCAUCUAGGUAUGUUAUUGUUCUUACCCUCUUUGUUUUUAUUCUUAUUCGUUUUCUAACGUGUAUUUCAUACGCUGGUUCUUCUUCAUUCUUCGCCACGAUUCAUCGUCGUCCAAAACUGAUCCAGAAAGCAUGCUACUCACAACAACGAAAAGGUACACAUUUUUUAAUGUUAUUUCAAGAUUAUUCUUAGGAUGAUCAUUCAGCUUUUUUGAGAUUGCAGGUAUGUUUAUUUAUCCAUUACAUCUACAAUACGCUGUCAAAAGUAUUUUAUAAAAGGUUUAUUGUGUUUACCGUUUAGGGAUUGUGUAUCCGAACCGAUUAUACCUUCAAUUUAGUUUAUGAUAUCUUUUUGAUGUUUCGUUAUCUGAUUACUGUUGUCGUCUCAGAUCUGCAAGCCGCAUAUCAGAUCAAAUGAAAAAAUAAAUUGAAGGUUAGGGACUUAGAGUGUUGACACACUUCUGGUGUUGGAUUAUCGACACCUACAUUUUAAAUGAAGAUGAUUUUAUGCAAAAAUUCGUGAAGUUGCAAAAGUGUAUAUUCUGACCACAGGAGUUUUUGUUUAGAAUGGGAACAUUAGCAUACCAAGUAUGCUUUGCUCAAUUAUUGUUUCAGUUUGAUACCAUUUUUUUGAUUGUUGGAUGGGUUGGGGACUAACUUCUAAAAUGACUCUUUAUGUGAAUUCAUCUCUAUUUGGUUUUGUAGAUUGAAAGUUCAUAUCUUGAAGAUGGUAAAAGUCUCAACAAUUGGGAUGUCUUUUCUCUUUUAUAUAUUCAAUUUAGGUUUUAUUUAUACAUUUUUAUGUCAAUUUGUGUAUUUUCGUGUUUGUUUUUAAUGUGCAGGCAACAUUUGAAAUGGUGACAAUGGAUUCGUAGCUGCUGACCAGUAUAACCAAAUAUUUAGUAUCUUUCUUUUUUAUUCAUUUUUCUCUAAUCUAUAUAAAAAUGUUACUUUCAGUUCUCGAAAACUAUUUGAAUCUGAUUAACUAACAGUUGCAGAGACAUUGUUUUUCUAUAUCAUGGUCAAUAAUUCUUCUAGGUUCGAUAUGCAACUUAAAAAAUGUUAAAAAAAGACCGAAUAUAUAUAUAUGUUUGAUUAUCAAAUUCUUACAUUUUUUGUUCUUUCCGAGUUCACCGGAUGUUCCCCGUUUUAUGUGGGCCAUACGGAUCACCUGUGGGAUACUGAUUCGGUUGCAGAUGCAAUGGAUUGUGCCUUGGAGCUGAUUAAAAGGUAGAGAAAACUUUCAUUUUGACAUGGGAAACAGUAAAUUACGCUACGCCUCAGCAGCAGCAGGAAUCCGAGAGGGUAUAGAUUUGUCGAAUGUUUUGAGGAAUGUGAAAUUUAGAUACUCUUUUCAACAUGAUCGUAAAGUGUAAGCCUUAAAACUCAGGAGGAGUGAGGCAUAUUCUCAAGACAAGUCAUCAAGGAAAUGGGUACAACUUGAUAGGUAAAAUCCACCUUAAUGAAUGAGAUAUCCUUUGUCGACAGUUAGGUCCGACUCGGGCUCUUUUAAUGAACAAGGUAUUCAUCUUACUUAUACUUUUAUUUUUAUUUUUAUUACUUUUUCCAAAUUGCACACAAAUUACUUAUGAGUCAUACAUUUAUAGCUAAGUUAUGGAUUAGUGGACAAAUUACUUAUGUGUGUGUCAAUUUGGGUCACACGCUUCACUUAAAGGUAAACUAUAUCAUUAUUUUUUUUCUUAGUUUAUAGUUUGUGUUUGACUUUUGUUUUAGGCGGAAUAAGUUGAAUAUGCCAUUUGGUUCUUUUUCUAGAUCGCCUUUUGGUAUUAUGUUUGUUUCAGUAUUUUAACACGCUCAAUUUAUCUUACAGUUGAUAUUACAGAUUGUUAAGAAAUCGUAUAAUUAAGGACCACAUGUUUUCUUCUUCAUGUAUGUGUGCUUUUGGAUAAUGCAUUAUUUUAAAUUUUAUUUUGGCUUUUUAUAUAGAUAUAUUAAUUCCUUUAUAAAGAUUUGUUUUGUGAAUCAGUUUAUAUCGUAGGGGAGGUCUUACAGCAAAACAAUCUGCUUAAAAAAGUUCGUGUGAUGUAGCAUUAUUGAUGGUGGAAUGUCAAGUCUUCAUUGUGUUCUUCAGUUGGAGACGAGAGGAGUUUGAUAUACUGUUUUCUGAGGUUGGGUCAAAACAGUCUGUUAAAAAAAUCAAUUUGGAUGGGUCACUCUUUAUAAUGUUCUAAAACCAUUGUAUCGAAUAAGAAGCUUUGUGUGAUAACCUAUGGAGAUGAAAAGACCAACAAGAUUUGUUUAGAAUAUAUUUAUGGUCGAACAUAAUGCAAUAAUACAUUUAUGUACUUACUUUUUGGUGUGUUACUGUCUUGUGACUAUAGGUUUGGGAUGUAACAAUUGGUAGAAAGGAAUACACUUUUGAAGGUGAUAAUAAUGCUCCUGUUUAUUGUGUAUACCCUCACUUCAAGGAAAACAUUCAGGUAAACUGGUCGGAUCAGUGGAGCGGGGUCAAGCGGAUUGGAAGUCGCCUAAAGUGUAAAACUGUACAAAAUCAAGUUUAGAGGGAUUUGAUGCAAUAGGGUUUUGUAAGUUUUUGUGGCAUUGACUAAAAUGGUUCCGUCUGGUUUUAAAAAAAAAAGAGAAAGCAGCUUAUGAAGAGUUGGGCUUUGAACUGAUGGGACCUUAACUUAUCAAACCCUUGAUGAUAUAUAUCUAUGGUUACUAUGGAUCCAAGGUUCCAAGUCAGGUCGACACGGGUCAGAAGUUCAAGUGGAACAACUGGGCGCCAAUCAAAGUGACUUUUUUUAGGUUUGGAGAGCAUCUAGGGACUGUUCACUUUAUUUGACUAUGGAAAGUUAAUUGUUUAACGAAAUUGUUCAGUUCCUGUCAAAUAUAUAGAUAGCUAUAUGAGGUUAAAUCAUUAAUUCUGCUAAAGUUUGUGGUU
Molecule: long non-coding RNA, 3483 nt
Organism: Helianthus annuus (common sunflower)
Lineage: Eukaryota; Viridiplantae; Streptophyta; Magnoliopsida; Asterales; Asteraceae
Exons: 8
Source: RefSeq, a predicted model, not a curated record